This 258-nucleotide long non-coding RNA is filed under the name Salvia miltiorrhiza (redroot sage). RNAcentral's name for it is "long non-coding RNA (SMIL_LNC004480)". The record is from RNAcentral. Lineage: Eukaryota; Viridiplantae; Streptophyta; Magnoliopsida; Lamiales; Lamiaceae.
CGGAUUCGGCAGAAAGCUCCGAACAAGCAGCUAACAUCGUGUUUGAUGAUGUCCUUUGAGGACAUGAAUAUCCUUAUGGCAUGUCCAAUGGCCAUGAUAGAGGAUGUGACGAUGUUAGUUGGACCACAUGUGCAUGUUUUUUUUGGCAUGGAUGCAGGUGUGUGGUGAAAAGUAUGUCGAUGGCUGAUGACUUCUAGGAGGGCCAAAAGCUAGAAGGUUGCACCAAAAAUUUCAGCAAGGUUUUUUCGACAUGUGCCG